CUCAAAUUUGAAAGCUGGCCUUCGGGUCCGCAUUGUAAUUUGUAGAGGAUGCUUUGGGUGAAACGCCAGUCUAAGUUCCUUGGAACAGGACGUCAUAGAGGGUGAGAAUCCCGUAUGUGACUGGAAAUGUUAACCUAUGUAAAGCUCCUUCGACGAGUCGAGUUGUUUGGGAAUGCAGCUCUAAAUGGGAGGUAAAUUUCUUCUAAAGCUAAAUAUUGGCGAGAGACCGAUAGCGCACAAGUAGAGUGAUCGAAAGAUGAAAAGCACUUUGGAAAGAGAGUUAAAAAGCACGUGAAAUUGUUGAAAGGGAAGCGCUUGCAAUCAGACUUGUUUAAACUGUUCGGCCGGUCUUCUGACCGGUUUACUCAUUUUGGACAGGCCAGCAUCAGUUUCGGCGGCCGGAUAAAGGCUCUGGGAAUGUGGCCUUCACUUCGGUGAAGGUGUUAUAGCCCAGGGUGUAAUACGGCCAGCCGGGACUGAGGUCCGCGCUUCGGCUAGGAUGCUGGCGUAAUGGUUGUAAGCGACCCGUCUUGAA
This 535-nucleotide ribosomal RNA is filed under the name Aureobasidium melanogenum. RNAcentral's name for it is "partial large subunit ribosomal RNA". It matches the Rfam family "Eukaryotic large subunit ribosomal RNA", at positions 108 to 658 of the family's 3401-position model. Lineage: Eukaryota; Fungi; Ascomycota; Dothideomycetes; Dothideales; Saccotheciaceae. The record is from RNAcentral.